Non-coding RNA from Pelobates cultripes (western spadefoot toad), 1219 nucleotides. Lineage: Eukaryota; Metazoa; Chordata; Amphibia; Anura; Pelobatidae. The record is from the annotation of a GenBank genome assembly.
UACAAACACCACAACACCUUUAUAUUGAGAGAGCACUCAUUAUAUGCUUACCUUUAUACAGCUCCCUUGCCGUCACAUGUCUUGUACCGAGUGAGCCAUCACAAAUAUAUGUACACACCAAAUGCCUGUCCACUUAAAUCUAGCUCUUUAUUCACACACUGCAUUCGCACCAUAUAUACAAUCCAUUAAUGAACAUAUUGACAUUCCAUGUAACCACCAAAACUAAAUUUAAAUAAAUCAUGAGCUUAUGGUGACGAGUAACUUUUAAAGUCGGGCUAGUAAUUCAGUAUGUGAAAUUUUGAGCUCUAGUUAAUGGGUUACCCAUAUGUUAGUACUCGCUAGAACAGUUAUCAAAGCUUAACAAAGUGACACGUUAGAUUUCAUACAAUUCUGGCUUUCUUGUAACAAAAAGUAGCAUUUUUUCUAGACAAAUGUCAAGGUGAAGUUCUUGCACAGAACCUUCAUUAGCUCUAUCUAGCUGGUGUGCCAAGCCCUAAAAAGCCAGGCUAGCUCAAUUUCAGCUCUCCUGUAGGUGGUGACUGGUGCUCUUUUGGAACCCAAGCAUAUUGUGGGUGUCGGGACUCUACUGGCAGCAUUACCACUACAACAUAUUGUAGUGGUUAGUGCUUGGAGUAAUUACUUUUAAGAAAAACCUACAAAGAAAAACUUCUAAAGUUUCAGACCGCAAUAAAUUUGGGAUAAUGUUUAAAUCGAAACAUAUUUUUAAUUUUGGCUCAUCCUACAGUCCCCACCUUUUCCCAUUACAUAAAUUUCUGCCAACAUUUCCAGCAGACUUCAAUACUGCGUAUGGUAAAAAUGAAGCUUUCUGUUAGAUACAGAUGAGAAAUGUAAAUGUAUCCAAUUGCUGCUUGUUUUUUUUCCCAACAGCUUGGUGUACACACCUUGGAAAAAUUUUAUUAUGACAUUCAGACUUUUUUUUUUUUUUUUCUUCGUCAUUUGUUAAAUAGUCUUAAUUCUUUUUGAAACUUCAGACCAGAUGGAGAAUCAGACUGAUCGCAACAUAUCCUGCUUUCUGGUUAGUAUAUAGUUAAGCAUCCCUGCUUGUGCACUCCAAGGCAGGGUGGCAAGCUGUUUCUCCUCCAAAACCACAAGCAGGAGUUUUAUGUGCCUGCCAGUAAAUAACCUUUGAAAACCUAGAAACGCAUACGGAAUGUUUCUGUUUCUUCCACGUUUAUAAUAAAGGAUAUUUCAGGCUAAA